This is a long non-coding RNA of Lycium ferocissimum, 2024 nucleotides long. RefSeq lists it as uncharacterized. NCBI's taxonomy places the organism in Eukaryota, Viridiplantae, Streptophyta, Magnoliopsida, Solanales, Solanaceae. The transcript is spliced from 4 exons. The record is from RefSeq and is a predicted model, not a curated record.
ACAAAAUUAGGUAAUUAAUGGAGCUUUAUAACCUCCCCAACCCUAAAAAAUACGUACCAAAUUAGUAAAAAUUUAACGGAGCUUUAUAACCUCCACAAGCCUAAACAAAACGCUACAAUAGCCCGAGGUUUAUAAUCCCAACCCUUUAAAAAAGCACUAAUAUCUCCCAAUUUCCUCUAGAAACUUCCGACCUUCAUUCUCCGUGCUUAGUAGCUAAAAAAAUGUAGAAAUAUUUGCUCUCUUCAUUUCUCCUUCAUUUUCUUCUAUGUCGUGCAAUUCAGAUUUAGCUUUUUGCAUUUUCGGGAGUUGCUGAUCACAGUAAUUUCACUGUUUUAUGCUUUAUCCUGAAGGCAUCAACAGUACAUUGGAAAAGUGAAGAAUGCAGUUUUUCAAACUCAGAAGGCUGGUAGGAAGCGUGUUGUGGUAUCCAUGGAAGAGAGUGUCAUUGUUUCGCUUCACUUCACCAUGGGGAGAUUUUUUGGAGGCAUGCUUUUGGGGACAAUGACACCAUUAUUGCAAUUGAUAUCUCCAUGGGAAAAUAUAAUAGCUUGCUCUGUAUCUGUUACUUUUAUUAUUUCUCUUUAUUUGAAAACAUUGGUAUUGGGAUUUUUGUUUUAAUAGUAUAUGAAUUGCUAAAUACACUGGCUUGCUUGUAUUUCUUUUUUGGGUAUAGUAUUUGCCAUGUCACCAAGUUUUUGCAUGUGUGCUUGAGCAAGCACACACUUAGUUGCAGUUAUAGAAAGCUAUAACUUUUAAACUCCUUUUGUAUCAUGUGGGAAGUGUUCUUUUUUACAAGAUAAAUUGUGAAAUAUGUCAAGUCAUGCCUUAAGAGGUGAUCAAUCUAACCAUUUGAACCAACAUCAAGUGUACGUACACCUCACAACAUCCAACAGUAGAUUUACUUGAAAUAAGCACGGAACAAGUUCUCAAGUAGCACUUGAGUGUCAAGUAGACAUCUCUUCAUUAUAAGAUGGUACUUACGGAAAGAUAAUUUUUUGCCUAAACAAGGCAGUUGUGUUUGUGUUGUCUUAAUUUUCAUUACUUUUCAUUUUCACGUUACUAGAGUUUAGUUUCAUUCACUGUGUCUACUAACUCAGUUUCCUCUACCUUCUCUCACAACAGUCUUUACUUGUAAAGUUUUGAGAUGGUAUUCUUAUUUUUAAGGGGACUGUUGGGUUUAAGAAUAAUUUGGUUCAUAAGAUGAUUCAUUAAAGCUUAGUAUCAACCAUUACAUCAUUGUUUAAAGAUCCUAAAACACUGUCGGUGGCUUGCUCAGGAUAAGUUUGCUGAGGUUUUCUUGUUUCAUUUGGAAAGAGGCUUAAGUUAGAUGGGAUUUGGUUGAGUUUGUUGUGAACCUUUUAAGAGCUUGUGGUUACAAAAUUUUGAGAUAACUAGAAACCUGAAUGCUUUGUUCAUGUACUCAUGUGGAAAAGAGAUGAGUAUUUAUUUGAGUCCAUCCCAAUCUCUCUAUUAGUGCCCUUCUAUUUAGUCCUACUAUUUCAAUUUUUUGGUUAUUAGUUUUGGAGUAACUUAAGAACUAUGGAAACCAUGACAUGAACUUCUGCCUAAGAAUAUAUAUCAAGUUUGAGCAUGAUCUAUGACUUUCAUUGUUGUCAAAAAAUGAUUUGAAAGUAAUAGAAUUGCUGUGCUUUGUUCAAUGUGUCCUAACUAGCAUGUAUAAAAUGUCGUUCAUGAUUGGAUUGGUUAAAUGUUACACCUAGUAGGACUGACAUUAGUCAUAUUAGAACUGACAUUAUCCAAUUUUCCCAAUUCCUUUUUUGCAGCCAAGUGAUGCUGCUAGUGAUCCGCUUUACCCAUGGAUGCAAGAAUCUUCUAGCUCGAGCUGUAUCUUUUCAUUUUGAAAUGAUUUUGUAUUGGUGCUAAUUAGAUCAUUGACAUUUUUUUUGGCGUUCAAUUUGUUAAUAUUUUGUGUGGUUUAGUGGAAUGUUAAUAUUUCUCUAUUUUGAUAUUCAGGUUUAAGUGUUCAAUGUAUUCAGAUUUAUAUUAGAAAAAAAUUCGAAAAA